UCAUUAUUAAAGGGUUCCGAGCACAUUAGGGUUGUUUUUCUGUGUGGAACAUGGCGUUGGCAGGUACAAUGUGUCUACAUGCUGUGACAGCCUUCUUCGGUAAUUAACAUCACACAUUAAUUCAUUUCAACAACCCCAUUAUCUAUUAAUUCACAACAUCAUUCUCCCAUCUAUCGCAUUCCCUAUUGGGCCUCAAUCUAAAUAACAGCUUUCUCACGGCGCUGCCCUCGUGUAGCAAGGCGCGUCUCUACGAGAAACUUUACGACCUUCACAUAAUAAAAGAUGUAUUUUCUAUCUUGCUUUUUUUUGAUUCUAUGCACAUGUUGCUCCAAGAAUGUGUUCACCAUUUUCUUUGUGUCUGACGUUCGUUGUGAUGGAAAACGUCUUACACUUGAGUGCACUCGACAACAAACAAACAAACUGCAACGGAGCGCACACCCCAUUUGUCAGGCGAGUGGACUGAACGUGUGUAAAUGUUUUAAUACUUGCGUGUGGAUAUUAAUGGAAACAAAUAAAUGUUUAUUGCCGAGCUUCCGUGGUUUUCAUUUCUCAGAUGUGCGUGUUUGUUGCUGUGCGGUGGAAUCUGUGCUCGUGCUGCUGCGACAAACGAGUUGAUUAUCUGAUCACUGUUUCCUUUAAUAAAAAAAAUCUGCAAAACCACAGAACAGCUUAAUAUAAGUUACAAUCCACAACACAGUUGUCAAUCACGUCAUAACAAAAGGAUUCAAAGUAAUAAUAAAGCUUUUAAAAUAAUCCAUCAGGGUGGACACAAACUUUCCUCCCGUCAACAAGUUAAAAUAUUUACAAAAACAAAAGCAGAAACUUGAAAUGAAGCCUAUUUGUCAAACUUGACCCGUUUUGUAUUUUACAGUGUAUGAAAUAAACCACGGUUUUGCCGUUUCAAACGCUGUGAAAGUCCACAGAAAACUUUUCGCUCAACGUGUUUGCGCUGAUCUGCAUGAAGCCGCCCUGCGUUUCUGGGACGAUCCUCCAGAGGUGCGAGUUUGUGAGCCUCAGUGGGAUUAUUCUGAAAGCUCCUCCAGCGGGACGACGGUGUAUUCUGACGCGUGUCCGUUCUCCUUGGGCCCCUCUUUGUGCAGGAACGUCUCCAUCUCCAGCUCCCUCCGCUGGUCUGACG
Molecule: long non-coding RNA, 1138 nt
Organism: Gasterosteus aculeatus aculeatus (three-spined stickleback)
Lineage: Eukaryota; Metazoa; Chordata; Actinopteri; Perciformes; Gasterosteidae
Source: Ensembl